RNAcentral lists this long non-coding RNA (241 nucleotides) under Brassica napus (rape). Its description in RNAcentral is "long non-coding RNA (BNAP_LNC010690)". Lineage: Eukaryota; Viridiplantae; Streptophyta; Magnoliopsida; Brassicales; Brassicaceae. The record is from RNAcentral.
AGAUGAGAGGAAGAGAUAGGUGAAAGAGAGGGUUUACGCACAAACAUUAUAUUUUAAAAUAAUACUGUCAUUUCAUUAGUUUCUUUAAAUUUUAGAGAUUUUUUAUCCCCUCAAAUUAUUAAAACUCAAUUAUUUUGUAACAAUAACUUAAAAAAAAACUUUAUAUUAAAAUUCAUAUUUUUUUAUGGUCUAUAAAUAGAGACUAGUUUCACUUCAUUUGGAUACCAAAAAAAUCCGUCAA